ACAUAAUCCAAUUACAAGUAGUAUUAAAAUAAAAACUCAUAAAUAAUGGCGGUCUAAUUAAUCUAGAGAAACUCGCUUAAUAAUCGAUAACACCCGUUAAAUUUAACUUAAAUAAUAAAGUAUAUAUACCGCCGUUUCAGACUUUAUAUUAAAAUAAAAUUCUACUAGUUACAACUAACUUUAACAAAAAUCAGGUCAAGGUGUAACUAAUAUUUAAGCAUAAGUAAGUUACAUUAAAACUAAUUUAAGAAUUAAUUUUGAAAAAACAAAUGAAAAAGAAUUUAGCUGUACAUAUUAAUUAAAAUUUAAUAUAAAAGMUAUAUCACAAGACGU
RNAcentral lists this ribosomal RNA (333 nucleotides) under Belisana aninaj. RNAcentral's name for it is "partial 12S ribosomal RNA". Lineage: Eukaryota; Metazoa; Arthropoda; Arachnida; Araneae; Pholcidae. The record is from RNAcentral.